CACACUGUCAAGAAAAGCUUCUAUCGAGUUUAAAGGCGCCCGUACCGUAAACCGACACAGGUGGGUGAGGAGAGUAUCCUAAGGCCAGCGAGAGAACUAUUGUUAAGGAACUCGGCAAAAUGACCCCGUAACUUAGGGAGAAGGGGUGCCUGUCUAUGACAGGCCGCAGAGAAUAGGCCCAAGCGACUGUUUACCAAAAACACAGGUUUCUGCUAAGUCGCAAGACGAUGUAUAGGAGCUGACGCCUGCCCGGUGCUGGAAGGUUAAGGGGAUCUGUUAGAGCAAUCGAAGCAGUGAACUUAAGCCCCAGUAAACGGCGGCCGUAACAAUAACGGUCCUAAGGUAGCGAAAUUCCUUGUCGGGUAAGUUCCGACCCGCACGAAAGGCGUAACGAUUUGGGCACUGUCUCAACAAUAGACUCGGUGAAAUUGUAAUCCCGGUGAAGAUGCCGGGUACCUGCGACAGGACGGAAAGACCCCAUGGAGCUUUACUGUAGCUUGACGUUGGGUCUUGGUACUACAUGUACAGGAUAGGUGGGAGACUAUGAAGCAUGGACGCCAGUCUGUGUGGAGUCAUCCUUGGGAUACCACCCUUGUAGUACUGGGAUCCUAACCAUAGGCCUUGAAUCAGGUCUUGGAACACCGUCAGGUGGGCAGUUUGACUGGGGCGGUCGCCUCCUAAAAAGUAACGGAGGCGCUCAAAGGUUUCCUCAGCACGGUCGGAAAUCGUGCGAAGAGUGUAAAGGCAAAAGGAAGCUUGAUUGCAAGACAUACAGGUCGAGCAAGGACGAAAGUCGGACUUAGUGAUCCGGUGGUACCGCAUGGAAGGGCCAUCGCUCAACGGAUAAAAGCUACCCUGGGGAUAACAGGCUUAUCUCCCCCAAGAGUCCACAUCGACGGGGAGGUUUGGCACCUCGAUGUCGGCUCAUCACAUCCUGGGGCUGUAGUAGGUCCCAAGGGUUGGGCUGUUCGCCCAUUAAAGUGGUACGCGAGCUGGGUUCAGAACGUCGUGAGACAGUUCGGUCCCUAUCCGUCGCAGGCGUAGGAAAUUUGAGAAGACCUGUCCUUAGUACGAGAGGACCGGGAUGGACGUACCUCUGGUGUACCAGUUGUUCUGCCAAGGGCAUGGCUGGGUAGCUAUGUACGGAACGGAUAAGCGCUGAAAGCAUCUAAGCGCGAAGCCAACUUCAAGAUAAGAUUUCCCACCGUAAGGGUAAGACCCCAGGAAGACUACCUGGUUGAUAGGUCGAAGGUGUAAGUGCAGUAAUGUAUUUAGCUUAUCGAUACUAAUAGGUCGAGGACUUGACAAA
This 1309-nucleotide ribosomal RNA is filed under the name metagenome. RNAcentral's name for it is "bacterial LSU rRNA". It matches the Rfam family "Bacterial large subunit ribosomal RNA", at positions 1601 to 2925 of the family's 2925-position model. The record is from RNAcentral.